Molecule: ribosomal RNA, 468 nt
Filed under: uncultured bacterium
Lineage: Bacteria
Description: partial 16S ribosomal RNA
Rfam family: Bacterial small subunit ribosomal RNA
Source: RNAcentral
GACGAACGCUGGCGGCGUGCUUAACACAUGCAAGUCGAACGGAAAGGCCCUGCUUUUGUGGGGUGCUCGAGUGGCGAACGGGUGAGUAACACGUGAGUAACCUGCCCUUGAUUUUGGGAUAACUUCAGGAAACUGGGGCUAAUACCGGAUAGGAGCUCCUGCUGCAUGGUGGGGGUUGGAAAGUUUCGGCGGUUGGGGAUGGACUCGCGGCUUAUCAGCUUGUUGGUGGGGUAGUGGCUUACCAAGGCUUUGACGGGUAGCCGGCCUGAGAGGGUGACCGGCCACAUGGGGACUGAGAGACGGACCAGACGGCAACGGGAGGCAGCGGUGGGGAAUAUUGCACAAUGGGCGGAAGCCUGAUGCAGCAACGCCGGGUGCGGGAUGACGGCCUUCGGGUUGUAAACCGCUUUCGCCUGUGACGAAGCGUGAGUGACGGUAAUGGGUAAAGAAGCACCGGCUAACUACGUG